AAAACUUGUGUUCUUUUGAGCAGUAAAUGCAGCAUGGGUUACAUUGUGUCAAUGUCUCUAAAGAAAAGGUAAAAGAAUCAAAAUUUUGUUACAACUUUGCCUUUAGUUUAUUUGACAAAUUAUUAUCCUUUUCAUUAUUUAAAGAACCAACCAAGAGAGCUUCAAAGCAAGGUCGGUGGCCUUUUGUGAGUGUCUAGAGUGGAAAGAGAGAGAAACGAAGGGAAUGGGUGCCAAAGCUCUUUUCUUCUUUGCUUUAUUAUCCUUCUUAGCUGUGUCUCUCAGGCCAGCUUUUGCAGAAGAUGAGGAAGAUCCAGGUCUUAUUAUGAAUUUUUACAGGGACACAUGCCCUCAAGCUGAAGACAUUAUCAGGGAACAAGUUAAGCUUCUGUACAAGAGACACAAGAACACUGCAUUUUCAUGGCUCAGAAACAUCUUUCAUGACUGUGCUGUUCAGUCAUGCGAUGCUUCACUGCUGCUGGACUCAACCAGAAGGACCUUGUCUGAGAAGGAGACAGACAGAAGCUUUGGCCUAAGGAACUUUAGGUACCUUGACACGAUCAAAGAAGCUGUAGAGAGGGAAUGUCCUGGAGUUGUUUCCUGUGCAGACAUCCUUGUGCUGUCUGCUAGAGAUGGCAUUGUUGCGGUAUUUCCCUGGCCUUUUAGCCUUGUCUUUGCUUCUGUUAGUUCUCUGAUGUAGUUUCUUGGUACAGAGUCAUAGUGUUUCUUUUUCUUUUUGGUUUCUAAAUCUGUGCUCUCUCUUUACAUGUUAUUUAAACCUCAUUAAAAUUAGUGUUUUGGGCUGUUUUAGCUUAAAAUUGAAGAAUUUCAAGACUGGAAAGUUACUGCUGAAACUAUAUUAUUUAGUAUAAUUGAUGACAAUGGAACUUUUAAGGCUUUAAUGUGAGCUAAAACUUCGUUGUUUUUCAGCUAGGAGGCCCUCACAUCCCUCUUAAAACUGGAAGAAGAGAUGGCAGGAAGAGCAGAGCAGAUGUGAUCGAACAGUACCUCCCAGACCAUAAUGAGAGCAUCACUGUUGUUCUUGAGAGGUUUGCUGCCAUAGGCAUUGACACCCCUGGCGGGGUUGCCUUACUAGGUACAUGCCACGUAUCUCACAUGCAAAUAGACAUCAAUCCAAGUGGCUUAAUUAAGCAUUAACUCCCUGUUUUUCUUUUUUCUUUCAACACAGGAGCUCACAGUGUGGGCAGAACACACUGUGUGAAGCUGGUGCACCGUCUCUACCCCGAGGUUGAUCCUGUACUAAACCCUGACCAUGUUGAGCACAUGCUCCACAAGUGCCCAGACUCCAUCCCAGACCCUAAGGCCGUGCAAUACGUGAGAAAUGACCGUGGCACACCCAUGAUACUAGACAACAACUACUACAGAAAUAUAUUGGAUAACAAAGGCUUAUUGAUAGUGGAUCACCAGCUAGCCACAGACAAGAGGACAAAGCCUUACGUGAAGAAAAUGGCCAAGAGCCAGGACUACUUCUUUAAGGAAUUUGCUAGGGCUAUCACCAUUCUGUCUGAGAACAACCCACUCACUGGAACCAAAGGUGAGAUCAGAAAGCAGUGCAAUGUCGCUAACAAGCUCCACUAGAAGAUUUAGUUACUUUUCUAGCUCAACUUUUCUUCUUUAUUUAUGAGGAAGAAGAGUAAGAAUUGAAGAAUAAGAUGGCUUUUCUAGAUGGGUUUGGCACUUGCUAGUGCUAGCUAGUGAGUGGAGACCAUGUUGAUUACUUUGAACUGUUAGCCUAGCUAGGUUUGCUUCUCUUCCUGUAGAUAUUAGUGUUGUUGAUGGGCAUGGGCAUGGAUGUAUGUAUCUGUAUGGAUGCAUAGUGUAUGAUGCAUGGACUAUAAUGAGGAUAAGUACUUCUUUUCAUGAUACUUUUCUUUUGGAUUUUCAGUUGAACAGUACCAAAUCAAGCAGAUUUGUAAUCGCUUAAACUUGUAUCUGAAUUUUUCAGAAGCUGGAUUAGAAUCUUUCAUUGAUUUUGAUCAGAAUUAUUAAUUUCAUUCAGCAGUUAGAAAUUCACUAUCAAAGUGGACAUGAUAAAUAAAAGUAGAAAAGAAAAUGACAAAAGGAAGAACUAAUAAGAAUAAAGAAAGGCAUAGGAAAAGAAAGGAUAAGAUUCCCUUAACAAUGCAAGUACAUCUACUAUAAUUCAAUCGAAUUAUAAGGCAAGCUUGAGCUGGUUUUGGUUUGUAAUUCAAUCGAAUUUGAACCGGAUCGAGGGGAAUUAAUUUAUAGAAAUUAUUUUUUUAAUUCACAGUUUGAGCUAGAUUGAACUGUCAAGACGAAUUGCCAAUUCAAGAUUAAGGGAAAGGAGUUAAGG
RNAcentral lists this unclassified non-coding RNA (2332 nucleotides) under Hevea brasiliensis (rubber tree). Lineage: Eukaryota; Viridiplantae; Streptophyta; Magnoliopsida; Malpighiales; Euphorbiaceae. The record is from RNAcentral.